Molecule: long non-coding RNA, 265 nt
Organism: Oreochromis aureus
Lineage: Eukaryota; Metazoa; Chordata; Actinopteri; Cichliformes; Cichlidae
Exons: 4
Source: RefSeq, a predicted model, not a curated record
CAGGUCUGUGUUGCAACAGGCUCACACAGUCUGAAACAAUCAACCAGGAGGAAAGUCAACAACAUGUGUACUCGGCUCUUUCCCACGGUGAUCUUUGUGUUUAUGAGACAAUUAGAGGCUCUGAAGAUGCUGCACCAGAAACUGAAGCCAAAACUACUCACAGAAAGCAAACAGCAGAACUAUGACAGCAGGACAUGAUGAAUCACAGUGAUUUGUUUCUCCAAUGGAGCCACGUUCAGCUGGAAAAGAAGGAGAGGGGGAAUUU